CAACUGAUUUGAAGAGCUUGCUCAGAUAUGACGAUGGACAUUGCAAAGAGUGGCGAACGGGUGAGUAACACGUGGGAAACCUACCUCUUAGCAGGGGAUAACAUUUGGAAACAGAUGCUAAUACCGUAUAACAAUAGCAACCGCAUGGUUGCUACUUAAAAGAUGGUUCUGCUAUCACUAAGAGAUGGUCCCGCGGUGCAUUAGUUAGUUGGUGAGGUAAUGGCUCACCAAGACGAUGAUGCAUAGCCGAGUUGAGAGACUGAUCGGCCACAAUGGGACUGAGACACGGCCCAUACUCCUACGGGAGGCAGCAGUAGGGAAUCUUCCACAAUGGGCGAAAGCCUGAUGGAGCAACGCCGCGUGUGUGAUGAAGGGUUUCGGCUCGUAAAACACUGUUGUAAGAGAAGAAUGACAUUGAGAGUAACUGUUCAAUGUGUGACG
RNAcentral lists this ribosomal RNA (441 nucleotides) under Weissella cibaria. RNAcentral describes it as "bacterial SSU rRNA". It matches the Rfam family "Bacterial small subunit ribosomal RNA", at positions 64 to 474 of the family's 1533-position model. The record is from RNAcentral. Lineage: Bacteria; Bacillati; Bacillota; Bacilli; Lactobacillales; Lactobacillaceae.